Molecule: transfer RNA, 72 nt
Filed under: Kamptonema sp. SIO4C4
Lineage: Bacteria; Bacillati; Cyanobacteriota; Cyanophyceae; Oscillatoriales; Microcoleaceae
Description: tRNA-Asn
Rfam family: tRNA
About the family: Transfer RNA (tRNA) molecules are approximately 80 nucleotides in length.
Source: RNAcentral
UACAAAUUAGAGCAACUAGCUCACUUGACUGUUAAUCAAGAGGUUGCAGGUUAAAUCCUGCAUUUGUAGCCA